Molecule: ribosomal RNA, 580 nt
Filed under: uncultured bacterium
Lineage: Bacteria
Description: bacterial SSU rRNA
Rfam family: Bacterial small subunit ribosomal RNA
Source: RNAcentral
UGUGACGGGUAUCGUUCCCUGUCGUGCCGAACUAACGAUUUAAGAAUUCCGCCUGGGGAGUACGGACGCAAGGCUGAKACACAAAGAAAUUGACGGGGGCACABAAAKGCGGUGAGGAUUGUGGUUCAUUUCGACGAAACAAAAAGAKCCUUACCCAGGCUUGAAAUGCAAGUGUCAUGAGCAAAAGGUUGACUUACGCAAGGACACACGUAAAGGUGCUGAAAGGCUGUCGUAAGCUCGUGUCGUGAAAUGUUGGGUUAAGUCACGAAACAAACGAAACCCAUGUUUGCUGUUGCCAAAACGUUAUGGUGGGAACUCUGAAAAGACUGCCGGUAAAAAAACGAAGAAAGGUGGGAAUGACGUAAAGUAAGAAUGGCCUUUAUGUCUGGGGCUACACACGUGCUAAAAUGGCCGGUUAAAACCGACAAAAAAACGCAAGGUGAAGCUAUACGGAUAAAGCCGGUCAAAGUUARUGGAUGAAGGCUGCAAACUCGCCUGCAUAAAGAUGGAUACGCUAAAUAAACACGGAUCACGCACGCACGCGAUGAAAUACGUACCCGGGCCUUUGUACACACACGCC